GCUCUCGUAGCUUAGCUAAAGCAUAACACUGAAGAUGUUAAGAUGAACCCUAGAAAGUUCCGAGAGCA
Molecule: transfer RNA, 68 nt
Filed under: Serranus scriba (painted comber)
Lineage: Eukaryota; Metazoa; Chordata; Actinopteri; Perciformes; Serranidae
Also listed under: 1 other name
Description: tRNA-Phe
Rfam family: tRNA
About the family: Transfer RNA (tRNA) molecules are approximately 80 nucleotides in length. Their secondary structure includes four short double-helical elements and three loops (D, anti-codon, and T loops).
Source: RNAcentral